CUUAGGUCCAUCAAGGACAGAAUAAAGAAAACCACCUCUAGCUAGAGAGCUCUCCUGUCAACCAACCUCUUAAAAAGUAUGCUGUUCAUCAAGAUGGAGCCCCUUUUUCAGAGAUAGCUCCCCAAGAAGGGGAAGCUGCCAAGAUUCACCCUCUCUCCAGUGCCCUCGUUUUAAAACCAAACCAGGAUUUCUGAAUCUCAGCGCUAUCGACAAUUAAGACUGGAUAAUUCUUUGUUGUGUGGGGCUAUCCUGUCACUAGAUGCCAGUAGUACUCCAUUUAUGGACAGUGCCAAAUGUCCUUGGGGAGCACAAUCGUGCCUGGUAGAAAACAAAGGCAAGAGGCCAAAGAACUGAACCCUGAGGUCCACCAACAUUUGAAAGGAAGGCAGAGGAAGAGAAACUAUUAUGAAUGACCAAAUGAGGAGAGUUUCAAGAAAGAACUGUUUGGUAAAGUCAGCUGUUCCAGAGAAGUUACAUAAAAUGGACAGAAAAAAAAAUCUUUGAAUUUGGUGAUGAGGAGGUUCUUGGUGACCUAAGAGAGAUUUACAUGCAAUAUGCUAAGAUGGAAAUAAUGCUUUAAAAAAGAAAACACACAAUCAUUUUGCGGAAGACUUGAGAAAAACGUUUUCAGCUUAAAGAGAAAAAAGCAGUGAGACCCCUUCGGCGUCUGUGCAAAACUGUUUGCUUGGCUCUGGAGGUGAUAAAAAUAAUUUAUGAAGCUCUACAUUUUUAGCAAGAGGAAAUGACCUCAGCUUUUGGCAAUCUGAUGCAGUUAGUGAAGCCUCUCUCUACUACUUUUAUGGAUUUCCUUGAGCUGCAUAUUCUGUGACCUGUAUUUCAGAUUUAUUGGCAGAUACAUAAGCCACAUUAAGUAACAUAAAAUGCAGUGAAUGCAUCAAACAACUCAGCGGGGACCGACUGACAGCAGGCGAGAGGCUGCCUCUUCGAAGAAGUCAUUCCGAAUCUGAUACCUGUUUAUGCAUUUGUCUAACCAGGCUCUGGAUUUUUAUUUUAAAUAAAGACAUUAUUUCAAAACAAAAGAGCCUCCAGCCAAAGAU
RNAcentral lists this long non-coding RNA (1058 nucleotides) under Equus asinus (donkey). RNAcentral describes it as "lncRNA (ENSEASG00005024000.1)". Lineage: Eukaryota; Metazoa; Chordata; Mammalia; Perissodactyla; Equidae. The record is from RNAcentral.